GCCACUGUAGCUCAGCAGGGAGAGCAGCUGAUUCGUAAUCAGCAGGUCGGGGGUUCAAAUCCCUCCAGUGGCU
RNAcentral lists this transfer RNA (73 nucleotides) under Thermoplasmata archaeon. RNAcentral's name for it is "tRNA-Thr". It matches the Rfam family "tRNA". Rfam says of the family: Transfer RNA (tRNA) molecules are approximately 80 nucleotides in length. Their secondary structure includes four short double-helical elements and three loops (D, anti-codon, and T loops). Lineage: Archaea; Methanobacteriati; Thermoplasmatota; Thermoplasmata. RNAcentral also lists the same sequence under 3 other names. The record is from RNAcentral.